RNAcentral lists this transfer RNA (74 nucleotides) under Promethearchaeati archaeon. RNAcentral's name for it is "Asgard group archaeon (marine sediment metagenome) tRNA-Gly". It matches the Rfam family "tRNA". Rfam says of the family: Transfer RNA (tRNA) molecules are approximately 80 nucleotides in length. The record is from RNAcentral. Lineage: Archaea; Promethearchaeati.
GCACCGAUGGUCCAGCGGUAAGACUCUUGCCUGCCUAGCAAGGAACCCGGGUUCGAAUCCCGGUCGGUGCACCA